GCUCGUGGCCUAACGGUUAUCGCUCUUGCCUUCCACGCAAAAAGCCCCGGUUCAAUGCCUGGUCGCAAGUA
Molecule: transfer RNA, 71 nt
Filed under: Ixodes scapularis (black-legged tick)
Lineage: Eukaryota; Metazoa; Arthropoda; Arachnida; Ixodida; Ixodidae
Description: tRNA-Gly
Source: RNAcentral